UAACUGUUUAUGGUCAAAUUUAGAAAUUGUAUACUAUUUUGAUCCAACCACGUUGCAUUUACUAUGAAUAAUACUAUACCAACUCAAUAAAUUGUUUUGUCAUAUUGGUCGAAUCCAGAGAUUUAUUCUCUAAAGUCUUUUUAGCAGGCCUUUUUAGUUUUUACCAAUUUUGUUCUUGUUUUGUUUCCAGGAUGUGAAUAAAAUCCAUAUAAACUAACUAAAAUUUUAAGUAAUGAACUAAUGAUCAAACCCUUACCAUAAAUAGAGAAACAUAGGCUCUCAGUGCACAUAACACUCGAUAAGUCUAUUAAUGAAACCUACUACUAUACUCAGCUCUAAUUCUAAAUAUUACAAAUAAUUCAUAUCCUUUUGCUUUAGCCUUUAUGUUACAAAAUUUUGGAAGAUAUGAUAAAUUUGGUUUGGUACUUAAUAUAGUUAUAAUAUUAUAUCUAGAGACAGAUAAAGAGACAUGUAAGUUGUAAGUUGUAACCACUUGCCUUGCCUUGAAGAAGAAAAAAUCCAUGAUAUUUUAUUCAUCUUCGACUUCUGUGUUGUGUCCAAUUUUAGAACUUGCACUCUAUUUUCAUCCAUCCAAUUUCUCAAUUAGAAGACCUGGUUAAGAAAAUCAUGUUUGACUGCAGCACCAUAGUGAUUGUUUUUUUUUCUUCAUGUCACUGAAGCUUCUUGAAACCCCUGCCAAACAAAUUAAAGGAACUAAGUAUAAGAAAAUUUCGUUGUAAGAAAUUUCACAAUGCAAUGUAGUAGUGCUGUACUGUUGGAAACAGUAAUUGAUGAAAUUAUUAAAAUUUCAAAACAAACAUGCAUUAUAAUGUAUUGCAAAUGCUAUAUAUAUUGAGACAUUGGUCAAUAUAUAACACAACACGACAGAUCAAAUUACCCAAAAAAUAUCAUCUUUACCAGUGCUGCAGAAGUAGUUGCAGGAAAUUAAAAUGUUCACUAAACAUAAACCACCUUAAGGAUAUGUGAUAUGCAUGUAACCAUAUAUAUAUCUAGGUAUUAUGCAUAGAUGUCACCACACUGUAAAUAGGGAAGAGAGGAAGAAGAAAACAAGGUGGUGACAGAAGUAUAGAGAGCACAAAAGAUUAGAGAUGCAGGCGGCUCUUUCUCUAGCUUAUCUCCUUCCCUCUCCAUCUCUCUCUCUCACUCUUGCAACACAUGAGGUGUGAUGAAUGGUGAUAUAUAUGUAUGUACUUGCAUGUCAUCCUUAGUGCUCUCUAUCUUCUGUCAACAACCAACAUCACUCUCCAACCUAUACAUGUGUGAUAUGCAACAUCAUGACAUGUAUGUAUAGCAUGUAUAUAUUUAGUGAUAUAUAUAUAUAGAUUAUAGGGAGUGUAUGAAGUGAUACAGGGAUAAUGGAGAGUAAUGUGUGUGUAUAUAGAGGAGUAAGUUGAGAGAGC
RNAcentral lists this long non-coding RNA (1421 nucleotides) under Capsella rubella. Its description in RNAcentral is "long non-coding RNA (CRUB_LNC003658)". The record is from RNAcentral. Lineage: Eukaryota; Viridiplantae; Streptophyta; Magnoliopsida; Brassicales; Brassicaceae.